GACGAACGCUGGCGGCGUGCUUAACACAUGCAAGUCGAGCGGUAAGGCCCUUCGGGGUACACGAGCGGCGAACGGGUGAGUAACACGUGGGUGACCUGCCUCUAGCUCUGGGAUAAGCCCGGGAAGCUGGGUCUAAUACCGGAUAUGACCUCGCGGUGCAUGUUGCGGGGUGGAAAGCCUUGUGUGGCUAGGGAUGGGCCCGCGGCCUAUCAGCUUGUUGGUGGGGUGANGGCCUACCAAGGCGACGACGGGUAGCCGGCCUGAGAGGGCGACCGGCCACACUGGGACUGAGACACGGCCCAGACUCCUACGGGAGGCAGCAGUGGGGAAUCUUGCGCAAUGGGCGAAAGCCUGACGCAGCGACGCCGCGUGAGGGAUGACGGCCU
RNAcentral lists this ribosomal RNA (386 nucleotides) under uncultured bacterium. RNAcentral's name for it is "bacterial SSU rRNA". It matches the Rfam family "Bacterial small subunit ribosomal RNA", at positions 28 to 417 of the family's 1533-position model. The record is from RNAcentral.